Molecule: microRNA precursor, 103 nt
Filed under: Marmota monax (woodchuck)
Lineage: Eukaryota; Metazoa; Chordata; Mammalia; Rodentia; Sciuridae
Source: RNAcentral
AGUGAGAUAGCUGGGUCAAAUGGUGGUUCCAUUCCAACUUUUCUCAGGAAUCUCCAUACUCCUUUCCAUACUGAUUGCACCAAUUUGCAUUCCCACCAGCAAU